CCCGGGUCUCCAGGAUAGUGCCCUAGGCCGAAGGCAGGCACCAAACCGCUGCGCCACCCAGGGAUCCCGAUGCUGGCAGUUUUAAACUCAGACCCAAGCCUUGGGGAUUCAGGGAGUAGCGAGAGGCCAGCAGCUUCUUUUCCUAGGUGUACAGUCUGAGAGAUGGGGAGAGAGGGAGACAGAAGGCGCAACAAAGGCAAGUCCAAUAUAAUCGACGUAGCCGAACCGCGUCAUAGGGUGGUGGAUAUGAGCGUGGGGCAAAUGGGUGCUUGGUAACAGAGCCAUUGAUUCCCAAAUGUGGGCCAAGUACUCCUUUGCACGUGCAGUGCCUUCUGCUUUUCUGAAAUGUUCCCUGUGAAUCCUCAAGACAACUCUGGGAGGAACCGGCGGUUGGCCCAUACUACAGAGGAGGUGACUGAGAGCAGGCUCCAGACUCACAGAACUGGUGGAAAGAACCCAUCACUGUCUGGCUCUCGGCAUAUUUUGCAAGCUAAGGUGGCUGGGGCAGCUCUACGUUUCUUCAUCUAGUGCCUCCUUGUCCUGGCUUGGCUGGGAGUAGUUUUCAGGUGUUGGCUGAACAAACAUCUGAACGAAUGUACGCAUCGAUCCUGGGAUAGAAGCCUGGCCCAUGCUGUCACGCUAAGACCUCUUCCACCAAGCUUCACUGUGUCCAUACUCCUGGGAACACUGCAUUUUCCCUGAUUGGGCUGUGAAGAGAACAGAGCAGAGAAAAAGUAGAUAUCUUUCUGCUACAGAGUGAAUGUUUGUGUCUUCAGAUCCAUGCUGAAAUCUGAUUCCCAAUUUGAUGUUAUUUGGAGGCGGGAGUCUCUAGGAGGUGAUUAGGUCACAAGGAUGGAGCUUUCAUGAAAUGAGAUGAGUGCCCUUAUAAAAGAGAUUCCAGAGCGCUCCCUCACUCCUUCUGUCUUCAUUGAGGACACAGUGAAAAGGCUGCUGUUUAUAAGCUAGGAUGUGGGCUCUCACCAGACUCCAAAUCAACACCUUGGUCUUGGAAUUCCUGGCUCCCAGAAUGAGUCUAGAGAAACUUGCAGAGAGAUAUUAAAAGGUAGAGGUUACCUGUCCUUGAACAGCUUCGCUAAAUGAGACUGGGUGCAUUUCCUCAUCUAGCCACCAGGUGGCAGCCAGCUUGUCGCCGCUGCCAGCGCAUCCUCACUCUCCUGCUCCUGGGGGAACAAUUGCUGUUUGAUCAUCCCCAGUGCUACCUAGGGCCCAACUGCCAGCUGGCAAAUAGAGCCUGGACUUUGGGACUCGUGGGUCUGGAUUGGACUUUGGUUCUGCUACUGGAUACUUGAGUGACCUUGGUCAGACCAGUAAACUUCGGGAAGCCUCAGUUUUCUCUUCUGUAAGAUGGGAACUAGAAGGGUUACUGAGGAUUCUAUGGGAUGGCUUAUGAGGAGAGCUUGGCACAUAGUAGCUGUGCACUAAAAGGUACCCUGCUGGGUCCCAGUCUUCUAGAAAGAACAUGCCCCAGGCACACAGGUGAGCCCCUUCUGGAUCCUCCAUGGAAAGGGGAGUCAGCUGGUGGUGGUGCUGUGCUGGAGCUGCAGAGCCAAAGAUGUGUACACAGCCCAUUCAUCUGCCUUCUGCUGCUUGAGCCCCCACAGAUGCGGAAGGUGCAGGGAAUGAUUCAGCUCCAGCUUUUAUUCUUGGUUGUCUUGUCAUUUUUCCCCUAAUGACUGGUGUGGUCGGAGCCUCAGCUGGAGUUAUGCUGACCUAGUUUUCAAUUCUGACUGUGCCCAAACAAGCUGUGUAACCUUGGACAAGUAACUUAACCUCUCUGUCCUAUCUCCUUCAUCUGCGAAACAGGAAAAUUAGCAUAUCUUUCUCACAAGGUUCUUUGGAGAGCUUUCAAAAUCUAAUUUUCAUUAUGAAACAUUUCAAACAUGGAGAAUAAUACAAAUAAAAACAUGAGGAAUAAAACAAUUUUGAAGUCCCAUGUGCGCAAUGAUCUUUGACCUCUGGCCACUCGUUUCAUUAAUUCUUUCACCAUACUACUGCCUUCCCACUGGAUUAUUUUGAAGCAAAUACCCGUCAUCACAGCAGUUUAUUUGUAGUGUAUAUUGCAAUAUAUAUCUGUAAAAGAUAAGCAUUCUUUUUUAAAACAUAAUUUUAGAGAGGUUUUAUGGAGCCUUUUCUCUAUGGCCAGGAUUUUCUGUAAAA
Long non-coding RNA from Canis lupus familiaris (dog), 2178 nucleotides. RefSeq lists it as uncharacterized. The transcript has 7 exons. The record is from RefSeq and is a predicted model, not a curated record. NCBI's taxonomy places the organism in Eukaryota, Metazoa, Chordata, Mammalia, Carnivora, Canidae.